This 435-nucleotide ribosomal RNA is filed under the name uncultured Flavobacterium sp. RNAcentral's name for it is "bacterial SSU rRNA". It matches the Rfam family "Bacterial small subunit ribosomal RNA", at positions 358 to 790 of the family's 1533-position model. Lineage: Bacteria; Pseudomonadati; Bacteroidota; Flavobacteriia; Flavobacteriales; Flavobacteriaceae. The record is from RNAcentral.
GGAAUAUUGGACAAUGGGCGCAAGCCUGAUCCAGCCAUGCCGCGUGCAGGAUGACGGUCCUAUGGAUUGUAAACUGCUUUUAUACGAGAAGAAACAUCCCGACGUGUCGGGACUUGACGGUAUCGUAAGAAUAAGGAUCGGCUAACUCCGUGCCAGCAGCCGCGGUAAUACGGAGGAUCCAAGCGUUAUCCGGAAUCAUUGGGUUUAAAGGGUCCGUAGGCGGUUUAAUAAGUCAGUGGUGAAAGCCCAUCGCUCAACGGUGGAACGGCCAUUGAUACUGUUAGACUUGAAUUAUUAGGAAGUAACUAGAAUAUGUAGUGUAGCGGUGAAAUGCUUAGAGAUUACAUGGAAUACCAAUUGCGAAGGCAGGUUACUACUAAUUGAUUGACGCUGAUGGACGAAAGCGUGGGUAGCGAACAGGAUUAGAUACCCGAG